GUUGUACUCCCUUCGUCUGAAAUUACUUGUCAUAGAAAUAAAUAAAAGUAGAUGUAUCUAAAAUUAAAAUGCGUCUAGAUACAUACAUUUUUAUUAUAAGUAUUUUAGGACAGAGGGAGUAGUAU
This is a non-coding RNA of Triticum urartu, 125 nucleotides long. The record is from Rfam. NCBI's taxonomy places the organism in Eukaryota, Viridiplantae, Streptophyta, Magnoliopsida, Poales, Poaceae.